This is a long non-coding RNA of Herpailurus yagouaroundi (jaguarundi), 1205 nucleotides long. RefSeq lists it as uncharacterized. The transcript has 3 exons. The record is from RefSeq and is a predicted model, not a curated record. NCBI's taxonomy places the organism in Eukaryota, Metazoa, Chordata, Mammalia, Carnivora, Felidae.
CGAACAUGGAAGCUUCUUUGUAACUGCUAACAGGACAGAGGCACUUCUCUCUCUGGAAAGAGGCAUGUGAAAUGAUCGACCUCGGCAGAGAAGCCCACGGAGGUGCCAAUACCAGGAUAAGGGGAAGAGCGGGGAAGUAGAGAGAAGGACCGAUUCGGUGGCAGGAGUUCAGAGCACGUGCUUGGUGAGGGAGGGAUCGUGUUGAAGCGCAUUAGCACCGUGGAUUAUUAUGCAAGCAAAGGAAUCCCACGUAAACGUUGUCACACGGUGCCUUCAGGUUCCUGGGCACCUAGGAAAGAAGUCCUACUAGCGGCAGCAAUGCAAACAGCCCUGCCAGCCACCGGCCGUGAGUCCACCUGACUGCCCUGAGCCUUGCUCACCAGUGAAGCGCCUAGGACCACGUCUAUUAGCACAGCGCCCUAGGCCACACCCACCACCAAAGUGUCCUGCGCUGUGCCUGUUGGGGAACAUCAGCAAAAAGCCGUGACUGCCGCUUGACCCGGGCUUUCGGAGGCUCCUCACCCCAUCCCCUGUCCCAGGAACCGGGUCCUGCCUUCCUUUCCUGCCCCCAAAGGCUGCUCCGAGGACUCAGCCUUGAGAUGCCAUGCAGUGUUGAGAACACCCGCCCUGAAGCCGGUCAAGGCCUCCCUGCAGGUCGUUCCCUGCCCUCCCAGGAAGGGCCGCUUCCAGGUUACACCGCAGAAGGUCCUGUAGGGUUACCCACCACCAACGUGCCCACCAACCAAGUGCUCCCCUCAGCCAUGCAGCAGUGUCCUGCCGUGUGGCCACCUCAACCCUGCCAGCUCGGCUGCCCACCUGGGUCGCGGCGCCUGGGUUCUUUGGGGAGCCUUCCUCGGACUCAGCGCUGUCUUCUCUUCUCCAAAUGCCCCUGGGGGAACAACCGGCUUUUCCUUCAGCUUCAGCUUGCUCUGCCUGGGAGGACACGGGGCAUGAGAGAGGCUGGAUGAUUGCAGCUUUUCUCGUGCUUUUUGGAGUCGGCUUCUCUUUCCUGGAGGCGGCGAGCACGUAGCAUCCCUAGUGCGCUGGCUUCUUAGAGCCCGGAAACCCAGAGCAGCGGGAUCUAGCUCAGCUCUGUCCUGUGGCCACGGGUGUCUUGUCUCCCUGUGCUGUGCACACCCUGGGCCCUACUCCCAUCCCCAGGCUGCCAUGCUUCAUUAAUAAAGCACAUUUCUGUGGGACACAGA